AUUGAACGCUGGCGGCAUGCCUUACACAUGCAAGUCGAACGGCAGCAUGAUCUAGCUUGCUCGAUUGAUAGCGAGUGGCGAACGGGUGAGUAAUACAUCGGCACGUGCCCUGUAGUGGGGGAUAACUAGUCGAAAGAUCAGCUAAUACCGCAUACGACCUGCGACAGAGCGUGGGGGACCGAAAGGCCUCUUGCUAUACAAUUGGCCGAUGUCUGAUUAGCCAGUUGGUGAGGUAAAGGCUCACCAAGGCGACGAUCAGUAGCUGGUCUGAGAGGAGGAUCAGCCACACUGGGACUGAGACACGGCCCAGACUCCUACGGGAGGCAGCAGAGGGGAAUUUUGGAAAAUGGGCGAAAGCCGGAUCCAGCAAGGCCGGGUGUGUGAAGAAGGCUUUCGGGUUGUAAAGCACUUUUGUCCGGAAAGAAAUGGCUCUGGUUAAUACCUGGGGUCGAUGACGGUACCGGAAGAAUAAGGACCGGCUAACUACGUG
This 490-nucleotide ribosomal RNA is filed under the name uncultured bacterium. RNAcentral describes it as "partial 16S ribosomal RNA". It matches the Rfam family "Bacterial small subunit ribosomal RNA", at positions 30 to 507 of the family's 1533-position model. The record is from RNAcentral.